This 378-nucleotide ribosomal RNA is filed under the name uncultured bacterium. Its description in RNAcentral is "bacterial SSU rRNA". It matches the Rfam family "Bacterial small subunit ribosomal RNA", at positions 524 to 898 of the family's 1533-position model. The record is from RNAcentral.
UACGUAGGGGGCGAGCGUUGUCCGGAUUUAUUGGGCGUAAAGAGCUCGUAGGCGGCUUAGCAAGUCGGGUGUGAAAACUCCAGGCUCAACCUGGAGACGCCACUCGAGACUGCUAUGGCUAGAGUCCGGUAGGGGACCACGGAAUUCCUGGUGUAGCGGUGAAAUGCGCAGAUAUCAGGAGGAACACCGGUGGCGAAGGCGGUGGUCUGGGCCGGCACUGACGCUGAGGAGCGAAAGCGUGGGGAGCAAACAGGAUUAGAUACCCUGGUAGUCCACGCCGUAAACGUUGGGCACUAGGUGUGGGACCUUAUCAACGGGUUCCGUGCCGUAGCUAACGCAUUAAGUGCCCCGCCUGGGGAGUACGGCCGCAAGGCUAAA